Molecule: ribosomal RNA, 724 nt
Filed under: Acinetobacter guillouiae
Lineage: Bacteria; Pseudomonadati; Pseudomonadota; Gammaproteobacteria; Moraxellales; Moraxellaceae
Description: bacterial SSU rRNA
Rfam family: Bacterial small subunit ribosomal RNA
Source: RNAcentral
UCAGAUUGAACGCUGGCGGCAGGCUUAACACAUGCAAGUCGAGCGGGGGAGGUUGCUUCGGUAACUGACCUAGCGGCGGACGGGUGAGUAAUACUUAGGAAUCUGCCUAUUAAUGGGGGACAACAUCUCGAAAGGGAUGCUAAUACCGCAUACGCCCUACGGGGGAAAGCAGGGGAUCACUUGUGACCUUGCGUUAAUAGAUGAGCCUAAGUCGGAUUAGCUAGUUGGUGGGGUAAAGGCCUACCAAGGCGACGAUCUGUAGCGGGUCUGAGAGGAUGAUCCGCCACACUGGGACUGAGACACGGCCCAGACUCCUACGGGAGGCAGCAGUGGGGAAUAUUGGACAAUGGGGGGAACCCUGAUCCAGCCAUGCCGCGUGUGUGAAGAAGGCCUUAUGGUUGUAAAGCACUUUAAGCGAGGAGGAGGCUCUCUUGGUUAAUACCCAAGAUGAGUGGACGUUACUCGCAGAAUAAGCACCGGCUAACUCUGUGCCAGCAGCCGCGGUAAUACAGAGGGUGCGAGCGUUAAUCGGAUUUACUGGGCGUAAAGCGUGCGUAGGCGGCUUUUUAAGUCGGAUGUGAAAUCCCCGAGCUUAACUUGGGAAUUGCAUUCGAUACUGGGAAGCUAGAGUAUGGGAGAGGAUGGUAGAAUUCCAGGUGUAGCGGUGAAAUGCGUAGAGAUCUGGAGGAAUACCGAUGGCGAAGGCAGCCAUCUGGCCUAAUAC